Molecule: long non-coding RNA, 526 nt
Filed under: Anser brachyrhynchus (Pink-footed goose)
Lineage: Eukaryota; Metazoa; Chordata; Aves; Anseriformes; Anatidae
Description: lncRNA (ENSABRG00000005121.1)
Source: RNAcentral
GAAGUGAGUAUCUUUAAAACCUGCAAUGUGCUACAUCACGUCUGAAAAGGGAAGGUGUGUUGCUGCCAUGGGUUUGCCCACAACUCCGUAACUCUGCAGCCUGACAGAGCUGAUGCCUGUGCCUGGUGCUUUCCCAGGUUGGCUCUGAGGAGCUGACAGGCAAAGAGCUCGAGCGCUGCCAGUUUGUGCAAUUAGUCGGAUGGGAGGCCUCUAUCCUUGCCCAGCAAAGGAAGGCAGGAGCUUUGAGAAUCUGAAGUACUGCUGUUGUGCAUACAGCACACACAGAAGUUUUUCCUGGCACCCCCUGCAAUCGCAGCAAGGCUCUUACCCUGUUUCCACGUUGCAACUUGCUGCUUCCAUCUGCAGAGCUCCUCGUUUUUCCAAGAGGAUCCCACAGCAGCUGUACAGACUCUGCUCCUCCAGGCUCCAUUUCAGGGCUGUGUCCUCAACGGGACGUGUCGGCACAGCUGAGGUGUCAUUGAGAAGCUGGAGCGGGCGAUGUGCUGCCAAACCUGAGGGAUGCUAA